CACAUUUUCUUUGAAAUAUUCAAAAUAUAUUCAAGUUAUUUUCAAAACUGAAGCUCCAAAUGGCCAUUUGUCUUAUAAUGUUAUUUUCUAAUGAAAAUCUUGGCCAUGACAGUGAGUGGUAUUUUAUUGAGGUGUAUGUGUGGUAUGUUCUAGUUGGUAUCACCUAAGUUCAGAAAAGGUGUUGAACACAUCUCUAAAUUUUGCCUGCCAUCUAAUGUAUAUAAAUCUGCUUUUAAUCCCCAAAAAGAAUAUUCAUACUUUGUUUUGUUAGAAAAUUAUCAAAAGUUGGUUGUAGAAAUUCUGUUUAUGAGAACUGUCUAAAACUUGCAAAUCAUCUAUUCCCUUAGACACUUAACUUUAUAUUUAAAUAAUGGACCGCUAAAGUUUGGAAUAGAAUUUUGUUUGCUAAACCAUCCCUUGGGGCUAUAUCUGUAUUAAAUUUGAGAAGGUUUAAUUUUUAGAAAAUCUAACAAGUUUUUACCAUAAGCAUGUUGUCAGAUUUUGCUUAUGAUAUCCCAGUGUCCUUUUUAUGAGGACCAGGAGAGAAGCUUCUUUGAGACUUCAUAUCACAAAUAGCUGGAAUUAACCUAAGAAACUAGUAUCUUUUUACUGUGGGACACUAUGGAACUUACAACUACACUUUUCGCUAUUGUUUGACUGCUAGAAAGAAAAAAGUCAAAUCUGCAAGCCAGUUCUGGCAAAAUUCUUAGAGCAGAUAUUUUUGAUACAAUUUUUACCUCCAACUUUGCUUUCCUCUGUCCUACCCCCAUUCAUCUUCCUCCCUUAUUCACCAUCAAGUUCAAAAUGUGUAUUUUUUGUCAGCUCCUGCUAAUUCUGUCUGGAGUGAGCUGGGAGGUAAUUAACUAGUUAAUAAAUUAAUUACUAGCUACAUUGAGCAACAUGCUUUUUUCUCCUCUUCAGUCCAGUGCUUGCUUUUAUUUACUCCUCUCAUCUAUUCAUGUCUUCUUGUAAUAUGGCUACAGCUUGCCCACCUGCUUCGGCGUGUCUGUCAGGACAAUCUGAUGGGAGUGACCAGUCCCACAAAGCCUGGAACUAGAAGCUGCUGGGCCCUUUCCCAAUGUGGUCACCAACUCAGUUAUCAGCCUUUCUUGAAAGAACAACAUUGAAAUAAAUCCUCAAGGAACAGAGAGAGCCAGUUAACAAGUGAGGUUCCUAGGUGAGGCUGAAGCUGCUGAUUCUGGCACCAUAACUGGAGAAAUACUGGCUGUGAUCCAACAGAGUACUGCAAGUAAAUAAAAUAAAAUAAAGGUAUGUUCAAAUCCACUUUUGUUGGUGAUAGUUAUAACCAUUGUUUUUUAACAAAAUAGGCUCUUUCUCUUUCUAUAAUUUAUAAUAGAGAUCCUUUACCACAUCUAUAUCUACUUCCCCAUAGUCCACUGCAGCAUGUGUAACCAAUUCUAAACCAUAAAUAUGUUGACACUUAUGAUUAAUCUGAUGGAUGUGAGUCUCUUUCCUGAAAUAAUUUUAAUCAUUUUCCAGGGAGCUUUUGCAAAAAUCUAAUACAUCUCACUAAAUGUAGAUAGUAUCAGAUUGACUCCAGAAUGAUAAAAAACACACCCAAUAUCCAGAGAGAGCUCUGAGAGAGCAUCACAAUUAUUCUGAUACUCCGUCCAAAAAGAAAACCAACCAACCAACUAUAAUACGAUAACUAACUCUCCUGGAAACCAUUUGGUGAAUUUAAUGUCAUGCAAAUAUCUGUGGAAGUAGUUGUUAGGUGUGGAAUUACAGAAUUAGGAUUUGGAUCCCUACUGUCAAUUGUAGAUAGGUCCUGGGAGGACCAAAAGAAUCUAUUUCUGACCAUCUAUUUUUAAGCCCUUUGGCCAAAGUUAAUUGUUAAUUGAUUUGUCAUAGAUUCAUUCCCUGACGUCAGCUCUCCAUAGCACCUGCUAUAGCCCUCAUAGCUUUCUCCUGGAUUACUGAAAUCACAUCCUUAAUGGUUCUGCCAUCUUGGAACAGGCCUCUGCCAGUCUCCCCUCAAAGACCUGCCAGAUAUUUUCUGUGAUGCAAACCUGAUCAACAGCUAUCUCCCGCAUCCUAACAUUUUUGGAGUAAAACUCAUACUUGCAAAC
Molecule: long non-coding RNA, 2090 nt
Filed under: Sus scrofa (pig)
Lineage: Eukaryota; Metazoa; Chordata; Mammalia; Artiodactyla; Suidae
Description: lncRNA (ENSSSCG00005023499.1)
Source: RNAcentral